RNAcentral lists this long non-coding RNA (1885 nucleotides) under Monodelphis domestica (gray short-tailed opossum). RNAcentral's name for it is "lncRNA (ENSMODG00000035170.2)". Lineage: Eukaryota; Metazoa; Chordata; Mammalia; Didelphimorphia; Didelphidae. The record is from RNAcentral.
GGGAUUCUGGGCUCACUCCAGUUAAUUCCAACAGAAUCCAAGCAUCAUUCUGAUGGAACUAGUUGCCAUUGUUACUCUACAACUCAUCUCACAUCCACUAACAGCACGAUUGAGGCCAGUGCCAAGAACUUGGAAUGCCAGAGCAUUGAGGGGAGGGCUGAAAGCCAGCAACUCCUGCUAUGUAAUCCCAUUGCUGACACAUUCUCCAUCUGCAAAAAGGGUGGCUUUUCUAGAGGGCAGUCAGUAUCCAUUAGUCAAAACUAUAGAGAUAAGGGGGAGCCUUGCCAAUGUAAGGACUGAAAUCACUGACUGUCCGUAUGUCCUGGUGUGUGUGUGAGGCUGUGGUCCUUCCUCGUGGAGAUGCACGAUGGAGAUUUCCUUCCAAACUUGCCACACCAGAGCAGAUGCACACAUUCUCUGACUGCUUUCUGCUGCUUCAGCUGCCCCUCUGCAUAGACACAAAGAAUGGAUCCUUUUCUCCCUGCCAGCCUCAAGAUGUCAGAAUUAUCCUCUGAGCACUGGAGUAUGGGUGGAAGGAGUCCCAGCCAAGCUAGGGCAUCCCUCCCAGGCCAGUCUGUGUCCAAUUCAGGUCACCUUCUGGUUGUGUCUCGUUUCCUUUGGUCCAGGCUUUAAGAGACCUUAAAAGGCAGCCGGCACCUUCUAGCUUUCAUGGUCACCUGAGCCUCUUGGGGACCAGGGUCCAGACCAGCUGAAAGAGGGAAAGUUGCUAUAGAGAAGGGAAGAGAGGGAAGGAUCAUUAAUAUGACUAAAAGUGCUUAGCACCAUGCCUGGCAUGAGAGGAAGUCACUACAUGUUUAUUCUUUUCUCUUCCUUUCCCUCAAGAACCUGAGGUGGGGUUGGAAUUAAAACAGAGGGACUCUAAUUUCUUUAUUGAGGAGAACAUCAAAGGCAGAUCCAUGAACCCACGGCAAAGUGUUUAAACAAGGAAAAGAUAGGGAAAGGUGAAGGUCCCCAGUUCUGUGACUUUGGCCUGGCAGUGCCCAGAGAACCUCUAUACUAGCUGUGUGUGAGUGGAAAAUAUCUAUUGGCCAGGAAUUGUAGGAAGAUGGCGGGCUGGGGUCUGAAGCUUUCUUACCCUCCUAAAACCUCCCACAACCGACCCAAAAAUCACUCUAUAAAAUUAUCCCUAAAAGAGGCAAAAACAGAUAGGAGUCUGGAGUGAUGCUGAACCGUUAAGGACUAAGACAGAGAAAGUUUUCUAACUUGCCCAGCCUCAAUUCUACCACCCUGGGGACAGGAAGAGAGCAAACAGAGGGAAUCCACAGAGAAGUCCCAGAAGGAAGGAUUAGGAAUUUCCCCUUGUUUGCUGAGUUCUCGGAGCUUGCAUCCUGGGGAUACCAACAGAAUCUGAAUCCACAGGUGAAGGGCUUAGGAGUAGCUGAGUCUGCAUAAGCCUCUGCUAAGGAGACCCCAGCUGAACUCAAGGCUGGGAAGGGGUCCCAGGCCCUAAGGGCAGGAAAUCAAGCCCUAUUGCUAACAAAUGAGGGGCUAUAGAGUCAGGAAAAAUGUGAACUGGAUACCUGCUCUGUCUGGGGCUGGGAACUGUCCACUGGAGUCCUUCCCAGGAGAGUUGAAUCUCUGAUUGUUGCCACAAGGGGAGUCAAACUGGCUACCUGAAGUUCAAGUAGCAGAAUUGCCUUAAUCAUGGAGUGGGAUUUAAGUGGGGAUAUCUGAUUCUGGACAUAAAAAACACAAUCACUAAAAAGGACCCAGGAAAAAAGCAAACAAAAAAAAAAUCCUGAGACCUGAAAUAGCAUACAUCAGCAUAAUAGGAAACAUGUGACUAGAAAAAAAAAACCAAUAAUGAAGUCUAUUGACCUGGCUACUAAAAUUUUUAAAAUAAAUAAAUAAAAGUGAGGAUUCA